AGUGAAGCGGGAUGAGCUCAAAUUUAAAAUCUGGCUGGUUUACUAGUCCGAAUUGUAGUUUAUAGAAGCGUUUUCGGUGGCAGCCUGGGUAUAAAUCCUUUGGAAUAGGGUAUCAUAGAGGGUGAGAAUCCCGUCUUUGACUCAGUGCAUGCUACUAUGUGAUACGUUUUCAAAGAGUCGAGUUGUUUGGGAAUGCAGCUCAAAAUGGGUGGUAAAUUUCAUCUAAGGCUAAAUAUUGGCGAGAGACCGAUAGCGAACAAGUACCGUGAGGGAAAGAUGAAAAGAACUUUGAAAAGAGAGUUAAACAGUGCGUGAAAUUGUUGAAAGGGAAACGUUUGACACCAGUUAUGCGGGUGGAAAAUCAGUCUUUUGCAAUGGGGAGUUGUGGGCGUUCAGACCGCAAGGCUGGCGUUUGCUUCAUCUUUGUUGUAAGUGAUGCACUUUUUCAUUUGCAGGUCAACAUCAGUUUGCUUUGCUGGACAAAACCCCAAGGGAAGGUGGCAGCUUAGGCUGUGUUAUAGCCCUGGGGCGAUACAGUGGAGUGGACUGAGGUUUCGCAGUGUGUGCUCUCGGGCAAGGCUGACUGGGUGCUAUGGGAUCGUUCGGCGUACAAUGCAUGCAUUUUGCGUCGUGUCUUUUUCAUACUCGCUCAACUCGGCUCUUCCACGCUUAGGAUGUUGACUUAAUGGUUUUAAACGACC
RNAcentral lists this ribosomal RNA (701 nucleotides) under Linnemannia gamsii. RNAcentral's name for it is "eukaryotic LSU rRNA". It matches the Rfam family "Eukaryotic large subunit ribosomal RNA", at positions 92 to 649 of the family's 3401-position model. Lineage: Eukaryota; Fungi; Mortierellomycota; Mortierellomycetes; Mortierellales; Mortierellaceae. The record is from RNAcentral.